GGGGAUUUAGCUCAGUGGUGCAGCACCUGCCUGGCAAGCAUGAGGUUCUGAGUUUGAAUCCCAGUGCCCCCA
Molecule: transfer RNA, 72 nt
Filed under: Cavia porcellus (domestic guinea pig)
Lineage: Eukaryota; Metazoa; Chordata; Mammalia; Rodentia; Caviidae
Rfam family: tRNA
About the family: Transfer RNA (tRNA) molecules are approximately 80 nucleotides in length. Their secondary structure includes four short double-helical elements and three loops (D, anti-codon, and T loops).
Source: Rfam by way of RNAcentral